GCUCGAAAGAGAGCCGUAACACAGGUGCUGCAUGGCUGUCGUCAGCUCGUGUCGUGAGAUGUUGGGUUAAGUCCCGCAACGAGCGCAACCCUUGCCAUUAGUUGCUACAUUUAGUUGAGCACUCUAAUGGGACUGCCGGUGACAAACCGGAGGAAGUGGGGAUGACGUCAAGUCCUCAUGGCCCUUAUAGGUGGGGCUACACACGUCAUACAAUGGCUGGUACAAAGGGUUGCCAACCCGCGAGGGGGGAGCUAAUCCCAUAAAGCCAGUCGUAGUCCGGAUCGCAGUCUGCAACUCGACUGCGUGAAGUCGGAAUCGCUAGUAAUCGUGGAUCAGAAUGUCACGGUGAAUACGUUCCCGGGUCUU
This 366-nucleotide ribosomal RNA is filed under the name uncultured Comamonas sp. Its description in RNAcentral is "bacterial SSU rRNA". It matches the Rfam family "Bacterial small subunit ribosomal RNA", at positions 1014 to 1382 of the family's 1533-position model. The record is from RNAcentral. Lineage: Bacteria; Pseudomonadati; Pseudomonadota; Betaproteobacteria; Burkholderiales; Comamonadaceae.